Molecule: ribosomal RNA, 254 nt
Filed under: uncultured bacterium
Lineage: Bacteria
Description: partial 16S ribosomal RNA
Rfam family: Bacterial small subunit ribosomal RNA
Source: RNAcentral
UACGUAGGUGGCAAGCGUUUAUCCGGAAUUAUUGGGCGUAAAGCGCGCGUAGGCGGUUUUUUAAGUCUGAUGUGAAAGCCCACGGCUCAACCGUGGAGGGUCAUUGGAAACUGGAAAACUUGAGUGCAGAAGAGGAAAGUGGAAUUCCAUGUGUAGCGGUGAAAUGCGCAGAGAUAUGGAGGAACACCAGUGGCGAAGGCGACUUUCUGGUCUGUAACUGACGCUGAUGUGCGAAAGCGUGGGGAUCAAACAGG